This 732-nucleotide ribosomal RNA is filed under the name Byssoloma subdiscordans. Its description in RNAcentral is "SSU rRNA". It matches the Rfam family "Bacterial small subunit ribosomal RNA", at positions 370 to 1208 of the family's 1533-position model. The record is from RNAcentral. Lineage: Eukaryota; Fungi; Ascomycota; Lecanoromycetes; Lecanorales; Pilocarpaceae.
AAUAGCCUAACGGCUGAACCAGCAACUUGGAAGAAUGUAUAGCAAAUGCUAAUCCGUGAUAUCGAUUUACUCGAAUAAAAUUCUGGGUGAAAUUAUGAUAAUGACAUUAUUUUGCUUAUGUGUCUUGACCAAAUUACGUGCCAGCAGUCGCGGUAAUACGUAGAAGACUAGUGUUAUUCAUCUUUAAUAGGUUUAAAGGGUACCUAGACAGUAAAUUAAGCCUAUAGGUACUGGUUUGCUAGAGUUACAUAUAAGGAAGCUUUAAGGUACUACUGAGUGUAGAGAUAAAAUUCUUUGAUACCAUUAUUCGUGAGAUAGGUUAAGGCACGGUUUUAGGCGAAAGCAUCUUCUUAUGCGAUAGCGUCAUAUAACAAAAAGGAUUAGGUACCCAAGUAGUUGACAGCAGACAAUGAUGAGUGUCAUAGGUUAAUUUAGUCUAUAAAUGAUAGUGUAAGCACUCCACCUCAAGAGUAAUUUGGCAACAUUGGAACUGAAAUCAUUAGACCGUUUCUGAAACCAGUAGUGAAGUAUGUUGUUUAAUUUGAUAAUCCGCAAAAAACCUUACCAUGAAUAUAUACAAGCGUUGCACGGCUGUCUUCAGUUAAUGUCGUGAGAUUUUGGUUAGAUCCAUUAAAUUAACGUAAACCCUUACUUUAUUUUGAUAUAAAGUAGUUCUCCGUUACAUUGGAUAAGAUAAAAGGGACUAAGGCAAGUCAUCAUGGCCAUCAUGUA